RNAcentral lists this transfer RNA (66 nucleotides) under Sphaerodactylus townsendi. RNAcentral describes it as "tRNA-Ala". The record is from RNAcentral. Lineage: Eukaryota; Metazoa; Chordata; Lepidosauria; Squamata; Sphaerodactylidae.
GCGUCUCAGUGGUAGAGCAUUUCCUUGGCAUGCAGAAGGUCCCUGGUUCAAUUCUUGGCAUCUCCA